UCUCCGUUGGUGAACCAGCGGAGGGAUCAUUACCGAGUUAUCAACUCCCAAACCCCUGUGAACAUACCUGAACGUUGCCUCGGCGGGACCGCCCCGGCGCCCAUCUCGCGGCCCGGAACCAGGCGCCCGCCGGAGGUAAACCAAACCCUUGAAUUGCAUGGCCUCUCUGAGUCUUCUGUACUGAAUAAGUCAAAACUUUCAACAACGGAUCUCUUGGUUCUG
Molecule: unclassified non-coding RNA, 222 nt
Filed under: plant metagenome
Description: partial contains small subunit ribosomal RNA, internal transcribed spacer 1, and 5.8S ribosomal RNA
Source: RNAcentral